GGAAAGAAAAGAGACAGAACGUAAAGGGAGGAGGGGAGUGAAAGAAUUAAAAAAAAAACAAAAAUUUUGGGAAAGAGAGAAGAUGACAGAACGGUUGAGAAAAGAAAGGGAUUGAAAAUUUUAAAAAAGCAAAAAAAAAAUUUGGAAAAAGAAGAGGAGGGCACGUGAAAAGUAGAGAAAAAGUUUGUAAAAGCAAAAAGUUUUUAAAAGAGAAAGGGAGAGGAGAAAAAUUAGAAAAAAGGGAGAGGGAUACACGUCUGGUGGUCUUCUUCUUCUUCAUGAAAGAAGGAACGGAAAGAAAAGGAAAAAAAACGAAGAAAAAUUAAGAGAAAAAAAAAGAAGAAAAAGCUAUUGUUCAUCUUCUUCUUCAUUUUGAAGAAGAAGAAAACUGAAGAAAACCCCCACGCCAUAGCCCAUGGCCUCCUCCUCUUUCACGUAAAAACGACCAUAACCAGCCUCCCCGUCGCGCACCACCAUCCGCUGCUACUCCUCACCACCAAACCUAUUGCCCCAUCGACUACUGUUUCACGUCACCACCAAACCUCACUGCCCCUUCGACCAGCUUUUGCUUCAUCCCCUUUUCAAACGCCCACAAACAAUCCGAGUUCGACUUGGGUUCGUUCAAGUUUCAGAUUUUUCUUUCAAGAUUAUUUAGUUCAUAUGAUUUAUUUUCUGUUAUGGUUUUUGGUUUUAAGUGUUGUUCAUAAUCUUGUUUUGUUCAUUCUAUUUUUCGGAUUAUUGAAUCUUUGUUUAAAGUGUUAUUUUUUGUAAAUCUUGUCUUGUUCAUUAGUUCUCCUUCUUCUUCAAGACCUUUUAUUUGGUCAAGGUUUUUCUUAUGUUUGUUUGAGUUAUAAGCUACAUUCGAUUUGAACAACUUCAUCGAAUAGUUAGUUUAUGACUGCUUUGUUUGGACGAAUACAGCAUGAAUCACUUCGUUGGUAUGUUUUGAUGCUUGAAUCAUUUUGUGUGAAUUUGACUUAAGGAUUGGUUGUAGCUGUGUAGUGAUUUGGUGUAGUUGUAAAUCAGAGAGGUUUAAAUGCAGAUUGCUAAGAGUGAGGGCAAGGCAAUAAUAAUAGGGGAUUCUCAGGGGUAUAUUUUUUUGGUGUUAAAAGAUUUAAAAAGUUUAGUGUUAGUAGUCUGCCAGUUAAUAUUCAGUGUAUAAUUAAAUUAAUAAAUUGUUUAAUGGAAAGGGAAUUAGUAGUGCAGAAUACACCAUGAGUCUGGUGUCUUUAAGGGUGGAAAAUCAGAAAGUAAGCAUGAGAUUAAUGAUAAAAGUGUAUAGAUGCACAUGGGAGGGAAUAUACAGGCUGAAAGUGAAAAACUUUGAAUAAAUAAUGUUUAGUUCUAGCCUAUAAAUAGGAGGAGUUGAUAUAGAGAUAGGGACUGGGGGAAAAAAUUCAGAGAGGAAAAAUUUUCAGAACUUAAAAGGGAGAAAUAGGCUAAUUUUUUCAGAACUAAAAAUCAGUCUUUGAGAGCUAAAAACUGAAAUUUGGUUCUGACCAUUGUUACACUGGUUAUUGCUGGUUUUGUUGCUGUUAUUUGCUGUGGGAUUCUGUUGUUGUGUUAUUGCUGCUGCUGACUCCUCUUUCUUUUGUUCUUGUACUGCCAUUUCCAGGUACAUAGUUGUACACUCUCGGCUUGAAGCGAAAUGAAAUAUUAAUCAGGCUUUGUUCCUGUUGAAUUCCUCCUGUUUAGAUUUGUGUUUGAAUAUAAUUUUCCUUUCUUUGUAUAAAAUGUAGUUGACUGAUUAAUGAGUAACGAGGUUGCAUAACUUCUUCAUCUAA
Molecule: long non-coding RNA, 1784 nt
Filed under: Nicotiana tabacum (common tobacco)
Lineage: Eukaryota; Viridiplantae; Streptophyta; Magnoliopsida; Solanales; Solanaceae
Description: long non-coding RNA (NTAB_LNC011905)
Source: RNAcentral